AUUGAACGCUGGCGGCAUGCUUUACACAUGCAAGUCGAACGGCAGCGCGGGCUUCGGCCUGGCGGCGAGUGGCGAACGGGUGAGUAAUGCAUCGGAACGUGCCCAGUAGUGGGGGAUAGCCCGGCGAAAGCCGGAUUAAUACCGCAUACGACCUGAGGGUGAAAGCGGGGGACCGAAAGGCCUCGCGCUAUUGGAGCGGCCGAUGUCGGAUUAGCUAGUUGGUGGGGUAAAGGCUUACCAAGGCGACGAUCCGUAGCUGGUCUGAGAGGACGACCAGCCACAUUGGACUGAGACCCCGGCCCGACUUCCUAGGGAGGCCAGCGUUGGGAAAUUUGGACAAAUGGGGGCAACCCUGACCAGCCAUGCCGCGUGCGGGAAGAAGGCCUUCGGGUUGUAAACCGCUUUUGUUCGGGAAGAAAUCCUCUGGGCUAAUACCCCGGGGGGAUGACGGUACCGGAAGAAUAAGCACCGGCUAACUACGUG
Molecule: ribosomal RNA, 483 nt
Filed under: uncultured bacterium
Lineage: Bacteria
Description: partial 16S ribosomal RNA
Rfam family: Bacterial small subunit ribosomal RNA
Source: RNAcentral